UGUGCAAAGGUCAGGACCCAGCAUAGAGACCACAACUUUAAAUCGGGAGUGGUCCUUCAGUCCAGAGGCUAUGAGGUAGUUCGCUGGCGUUCGCGGGCCCCAAGUAUCCUCUAUCUUUUCUAGUUUGUUUUAUUUGUAUCAAACAGACACAUGAUGUAUUUCUUUCAGANNNNNNNNNNNNNNNNNNNNNNNNNNNNNNNNNNNNNNNNNNNNNNNNNNNNNNNNNNNNNNNNNNNNNNNNNNNNNNNNNNNNNNNNNNNNNNNNNNNNNNNNNNNNNNNNNNNNNNNNNNNNNNNNNNNNNNNNNNNNNNNNNNNNNNNNNNNNNNNNNNNNNNNNNNNNNNNNNNNNNNNNNNNNNNNNNNNNNNNNNNNNNNNNNNNNNNNNNNNNNNNNNNNNNNNNNNNNNNNNNNNNNNNNNNNNNNNNNNNNNNNNNNNNNNNCAGACACAUGAUGUAUUUCUUUCAGAUUAUUAUUUUUAGUAGUCUUUAGUUGUCCAUAAGCAGUGACACCAGAUACUGGGUAGAGAUAUGUUGCUAGUUUUCCGCUUAUUGUUUUCGUUAUCGUUAUUAGAAGACUUCCACAUGUUUUAAAUAAUUAUUCUAGUAUUUGAUUUGUUUUAGAUUUAAGUUUUUAGAAACAUGAUUAUAAAGGUUGGCUUGCCUAGCUUAGGUAGUAGGCUCCAUCACGACUCCCGAUGGUGGAUAAAUCUGGGUCGUGACAUAUUCCAUCCUUAUUUAUAUCAAAGGAAAUAAUUCACAACUCCAACUAUCUUCAAUUAGCAACUUUAUUCACUAGUUCACGUCUACUCGAUCCAUUUAACUUAAUCAACAUCAAUAUAACCUUAAGCACAGACAAGAACACAAUACACAUACCUUUUUGAGUAACUUUAAUUCAAAAUCCAAGUUCUAUUUAGCUUACAACAACCCCCAAUGGAAAUACAGCACCAUAGAAGUGAAUUAAACUAAUCCAAGUAUUAUCUUGUAUUUUAUCAUCUUAUUAACUUAAUCAACAUAUAGACAAGCUUAAGCACAAUUAGUAGGUUGUUAUGCUCACCUUAGCUAGUAGCAACAACUUGAAAUUUUAACCAAACAAAACCCACAACUAUCUUUAAUGACAACACCAUCUCAAAGAGAUGUUGUUCUUCACUAGAACCAACUUUUGAUGUUAAAAUAUGAUGCAAUUACUUUGGAAUCACUUCAAACCCUGAUGAUAUGAAGGAGGGUUUGGAAAAGUUUGGAGACAAAUGUGAGAUGAAAAUGAGCCAAAAAUAGGCAACCAAAUUGUUGAUUAAGCAAAGUAGGUCAACCACCGCAUAAGUGGAUCCCAUUGGGAGUUGAUUACGUGUGGUCUCGCAAAAAAGCAAAUAUUUCUCUACUUCAAUUUCGUAUCGAUGAAUGGCUUAAUCUGAUUGAAAUAAGAAUUGUAGAUCUUCAGUUGGAAAUAUAUAUGAUCCCUUAGUUGAAAGUAUACUUGGAGAAAAGAGCAACUAUAUUUGACCUAAUUUUUAAUAUAUUAUGAAUGUAACUUUGAUGUCCUUAGCCAACUUUUGUUCCAUAACACACUUGAUUUCAAAACAUAACACACAACUAUUUGGGAUUCCAGAUAAGUUUCUAAACCCAUUGGAGGAUGAUCAUUUGUUUAAGAGAUGGGAUGAAGUAACGACCCGACAAGGCGUUUCGAGAGUUGUAUCCAUGUUCCCAUGUUUGCUGCACAUUUUAUGCUUUAUCACUGCUAUGUGACUUCCGGGGUAGUUUGUUCGGGUCCGAACAAGUUUUGGAAUGAGUUGAGAUACUUAGUCUUAAAGUUAGAAAUUUUAGUUGAAAAGGGCUGACCAGAUGAUGACUUAUGUGUAAAUGCCUGUAGAAUGAAGUUUUUAUGGUUCUGCUAGCACCGUUCAGUUAUUUUGGACAUAGUAGCGUGUCCAGAGAGUGAUUUGGAAGUGCAUGGUUGAUUUAUGCUUGAAGGAAAAAAUUGAAAAUUUAGAAUUUUGACCGAGAGUGGACUUUGUCUCUACCGGGCUUGGAUUGGGGUUUGGGAGUUUGAGUAGGUCCUUUGUGGCAUUUGUGACUUGUGUGAAAUAUUCUAGAUCAAUUGGGCUUUAUUUGGUAGGUUUCGAUAUUGGAUGUAGAAAUUAGAAGUUCAAAUGUUCAUUAGGUUUGAACGGAUGCACGAUUUGCUGUUUUUGCGGUGUUUGAUAUGAUUUUAAAGCUCAAAUAAGUUUGUAUCGUGUUUUAGGACUUGUUGGUAUAAUUGGUUGAGGUCUCGAGGGUAUUGGGUUGCUUUCAGAUUUUUGAUGGAUCAAAUUUGGAGUUUGAAAGAUUGCAUGUGCGCACCAGCCCUUAAAGAAGUGGCCAGAAGUCUAGCCGGGCAGUGCUCGCAGGUGUGAGAGUUUUCCCAUACAUGCAAGGUCGCAUGUGCAAAGUGACGAAUGUAGAAGCAUAAAUGGGAAAGGGAGUUUCCUCCACAGAAGCGGUAGUGUGCUCGUGAAGUUAGUCCACCGUUGAGGAUUUUUGUUCCCUUAGAGAAAAGCAAAUCACAUGGGCGGAUGCUUUCGAGGGUUUUAUCAUUUCUUGACUUUGCAAACUAGGAUUUGGGCGAUUUUUGAGAGGGAUUUCGAAGGGAGUUUUGACGUAAGUAACUUGUGAUUAAAGCUAUUCAAUAAUUAUUUUCCCUAUUAAAUUUCCCACCUAGAUUGUAUGGUUUAGAGGUAUAAUUUUGGGAGUUUGAGGCUAUGGAUAUGGAGAGUUUAAAUUAGGGAUUUCGGUGUCGAUUUGGUGUUGGAUUUUGGUAAAUUUGGUAUGGUUAGACUUGUGGUUGAAUGUGCUUCCAGAUUUUGUGACCUUCGUUAGAUUCCGAGAUGUGGGCCCGGGAUGAAGUUUGGAUUUGACUUUUAAUUAAGAACUUAGUAAUUUCAUAUAAAAUUGAUUCCUUUAGCUCGUGCUUAUGGUAUAGAACUGUUUGCGGCUAGAUUUGGGGCAUUUGGAGGCCGUUUCGCGAGUUAAGGGCUUAGUGGAGUAGGGACUUGCACAAUUUGAGGUCAGUAACAUCUCUAAAUUUGAUUUUGAUGGUAUGAAAUUCCAAAUUAUGUGUUAUAUGAUUGGUGUUAAGGUGAUAGACAUGCUAGGUGAUAGGCAUACGGGCGUGCACUAUAAGAAUUGUCACUUGGUCGAAUUCUAUGGAACUCUAUUGUUGAAUAAUCUUGUUAUUACCAAUAUUUUCACCAUGUGAGAGAAUAAUUGAGCUAGCACUCAUGUUAGAAAUCCUGUUAUGAUUACACGUCGAAUUAUCUGCUUAAUUUUCCCAAUUAUACUCAGCCACAACUAUUAUUUGCAUAAUGUGUCUCAGUCUCUAUUGUUCUUUAUUUGAUACACUCAAUCCUCAUUGUUUGGGAUGAUUAUCAUAAUUUUGGUGAGCUCGAGAGAUUCGAGAGAUUAAUGACUGAGUGAGACUGAGGGUUUAUUGUGAGUGAUUAUCGUUAUAUUGGGUUUCACGCUACAACAAGCUCUAUUGAUUAAUUUCACGAUUUGUCUUAUUAUAAUGCUUGGGAUGGAUCAGCCAUCUAGUGUUUGCACAUCCACAAUGGGCACAAUGCUAGCAGUUAUUUACUUUUAGGCCGGAUCUGCCCUUGCUUAGUUGUAUUUUGGGCUGGAUCUACCAUGUUUUGUGUUGAAAUUUGUUGCAAAACCUGAAUGCAUGUCUAAGUUCGUGUACCUUUACUUGUAGAUCAUAUAUUUUUGAGAUAUCACUUCAUAUUCGUUGUAUGUUUUUUGUACUGUUAAUACUCCAUGUGGAUUGUAUUACUCAAACUCGUCACUACUUUUAGUUCAAUAGUUAGUCUUGUUACAAAGUGAGUUGGUUGUACUCACGCUUUACUCUGCACUUCAUGUACAGAUCCAAGUGUCUUAGGACACGAUGGGUGCUGAUUAUCUAAGCAGCUUAGUAAUUUAGAGAUUUCGAGGUAGAUGCCCGGUAUCCGCAAACCUUGACUUUCCUUCCCUAUCUUUCAGCUUUAUGUAUUUAGUUUCAGAUUUUCAUAGAAAAUAUUUAAGACUUGGUGUUGUAUAGAUGCUCAUGUACUCAGUGACACCUUGAUUUGGGGAAUUAUUAUUUUGAGUUUUGAUCAUUUAUUCAGUUUAUGAGAGCUUUAAUUAUUUAAGCAUGUUUUUGUCUAUUUCAUUUAAUAGUGUUGGAAAUGUUUUGAGGUAUCAGCUUAACUACUACCAUGCUAGGCACCAUCACGACAGGCUAAGUUUUGGAUCUUGACAGAAAGCAAGCAAGUUAUACAUUAAUAAACAAUUUAUACAAUCUUGAAGGGUACAACAUAUGGCCUAUUUUAAUCUAUGUUCAAACAAGCGUACAAAUAAUGAAUGGGGGGGGGGGGGGCCCCCCUUUUUUNNNNNNNNNNNNNNNNNNNNNNNNNNNNNNNNNNNNNNNNNNNNNNNNNNNNNNNNNNNNNNNNNNNNNNNNNNNNNNNNNNNNNNNNNNNNNNNNNNNNNNNNNNNNNNNNNNNNNNNNNNNNNNNNNNNNNNNNNNNNNNNNNNNNNNNNNNNNNNNNNNNNNNNNNNNNNNNNNNNNNNNNNNNNNNNNNNNNNNNNNNNNNNNNNNNNNNNNNNNNNNNNNNNNNNNNNNNNNNNNNNNNNNNNNNNNNNNNNNNNNNNNNNNNNNNNNNNNNNNNNNNNNNNNNNNNNNNNNNNNNNNNNNNNNNNNNNNNNNNNNNNNNNNNNNNNNNNNNNNNNNNNNNNNNNNNNNNNNNNNNNNNNNNNNNNAAAAAAAGAAUGGGGGGGGGGGGGGGUCCUCCAUUUUUUAGCCUAAAGGAUCGCCUCGUGUGACAUAAAUAAUACUUCACAACUCCACUAGGGGCAAGAGUUGCUCCUAUUAUUCAGUGGGUACAUAUUAUUAUCUCCUACUACCCAAUUACUUUGUUAAAGGUGAUUACCUAUAGGCAUUCUAGUUCAAUUCUAAAUUACGUCCUAUGCAUGCUUUACUUGUCCCAUGCCUAUGGACUAGGAGGCUUUGGACCUACUACUUUGGGAGAUCUAUAUUUUACUUAGGAUGCUCAAAAUUAUAACACUAGGCGCACAAUAACAACAAGUAAGAUUGUACAUAGUUAACAGUUAAGGGCUCAAAUUGGCCUCCUCACAUAAAUACAAAUGCACACAAACAGUUAUAGGUACAUGCUAAUAUCAUUCCUAAAUUGCUAAGUAAGCUGUAAACGAACAAAUUUGAAGUUCGAGUGAGUUGCAAGGCAUAAGACCUAUAGGUAUGAUUUCUAUGUGAUUGAUCGAUGCAGGGAUUGUCAUUAGAGUUCUGCGAUGGGUCUAAAUCAAUCUUCCCGGAACGAAAACAAUCAACCCUGUAAGUCAUAGAACCAUAAAAUACAUGUGUGAAACAUCAAAGGGGAAAACAUGCGCAGUUAUACAUAUUGACUGGUCGGAACGUUACACACGGUCACUAUGACUAGCUCACACAAGCCUUCACGUUCGUGAAACUACCCACGAGAUCACAAUAAAGGCACCAGAUAGUAGAAAAAUUUUCAACUUCAGAAUUUGUUUAACCACCGAAACCCAUCCAAGAUCUCCGAGACUGCUCCACGCAAUCAAACAAGUCCAAUAUCAUUGUACUGACCUAUUCAAAUGUCUCGAAUGAUGCAGGGGCGGCUCAUUAAGUUUGGUGGCCUAAAACUGAACUUUAAUAUGAGGCCCUUCUAAAAAAAUCCUAUAUAUUUUUACUUCAAGUAAAUUUUUCUAGCUUUUUUAGAAUAAAGUUACUUAAAAUUUUCCGCAUAAACCAGAUAAUCUCUCAUGUGCAGUAUCUAUCUUAAGUAGGAGAGAAAAACAAGCGGGUCGGGGUCGGAUAUGGUUCGGAUAAAAAAUGGAUAAGGAAAAAGUGGAUCAAUAAUCUGACCCGACCCAUAUUUAAUACGAAUAAAAAACGGGUUAACCCGCUUGUAAUAUAGGUUACUCAUACUAUCCAUGACUUCUUGUAUAAGAUCACUUUUGGGAGAAUUUUUAGUCUCCCUAACUUGAGGAACCCCCAAUUUGAGACUUCACAAAUGUAAAAGUUUUACUCAUUGGUUAUCCAUUGGUUACUUAUUGGUUAUCCAUUUUCUAAAUGGAUAAUAUGGUUCUUAUCCAUAUUUGACCUAUUUUUAAAAAUUUCAUUAUCUGGCCCAUUUUUUAAUGGAUAAUAUGGGAGGUUAACUGUUUUCUUUGAACUAUUUUGUCACCCCUAAUCUUAUGUAAUAGAACCCAAUUGAAGAAGUUAAUAAAUUUGUAUUAAAAGAAUUAUUAGAUAUUUCAAUUUACUUUGCAAUGAUGAAAAUAUGAGGAAAAAAAUACAGUUUAAAAAUGUAUUAUAUAUUUUCUAAUGAUUAAUUUAAUCCUUUUUUUAUAUAAAAUAUUUUAAUUUUCUAAUUUGAAAUAGCAUUUCAUACGGUGCGAAUUCGAAUUAAUCAAUGUUACAAAAUAAAUAUCGGACAUCAAAUAAGAAUUGAAAAAUAAAAAUUGAAACCCCAAAAUUCUAGGGCCUAAAGCCACAUCUUUAGUGGCUUUACCCUCUGGCCGCCCCUGGAAUGAUGAAGCGAAUGCAACUAUUAAAAUCAAAGUUGCUAGGGUCGAUAUAAGGAACUCUAUAACUUCCAAAAAUGGUGCCGGAACAGUACCUCGAGCUCGUCCGGUUCCAAACCAACCAUAUAUCAUAUGAACAUACGAAAAGUCUUAAAAUAUGUAAUGGCACAUAACAAUAAAAGAGAGAUCGUAUUGUUAUAGAAAGUCGUUCCAAAAGUACAUCAUAUUAAUUAAUAUAAUAUUAUUACCAUUGGAAACGCAACACAGAACACAUAUGGAAUACAUAUCACACCAAAUAGUUUUAUUUAUUCAUAGGCAUUUAGGAUGGCCAUAAUACUUCAUCGUACUGAUGGGAACGGGAACAAAUAUAUCUAUUUCCCGACAUGGUGAGGCUCAAGAUCUUUGAGGACGCAAAUACAGAGUUCCAAAAGAUCAAGGGGCUCUGGUGUGCUUUCAUCCAACUUCUCAUACACAAGGGUCCAAGUCAUCCAGUUUUCCUCUGCAGUCAAAGUAGCUGUUAUGGACUUGUAUAAUUCAUUCAUAUAACCUUCAACAAAAUUGAAGGUGAUUGAUUUUUUUGCAUCAUCUAUGUGUAGGACCUGCUUCGCAUGCCUCUCUUUUCCUCCUGUUGUCCAAACGAACACAGUGAGAAAAAACAAAACAUUAACAAAUUUUUUUAAAAUAUCUCAGAUCUUGGUCAUAUAAUAAGUUAAUCAAUCCGUCCAUAUCUUAUUUGCUCCUUUUUGCUUUUACGCAUUAUUUGCACGUAAACUUGUAAUACAUUACGGUUGUGUUCGGUAGGACUGAAAAUUCAAUUUUUUUAUGUUUAGUUGAUUUAAAUAUUUUAAAAAAAAUAUUUUCAUGAACAUAUUUUUUCAUUCGGAGAAAAAAUGAUUUCCUUAUCGAAAGAAGGGAAAGUAUUUUUCAAAACUCUUUCAACCUUCCCCAUCCUAUUUCUCACCUCCACUCUUACCUCUACCCCCACCCCUACCCUCCCCCACAACCUCACCUCACCCCAUUAACACUUCAUCCCCUCGCCACCCCCUUGCCACCACUAUUCCAGCUGUUAGACCCAAACCUACCACUCUUCCCCUAUUUCGUCUCAUAUUCCGGCUUUUCUAAAAAUUAUGUUUUUCCGUACAAAACACACCCUACAAUAUCUCAAAUAAAAAGAAGAGAGAAAGGUGAGAAAUCGAUCACUUGUACGUACCAAAGCAAUUUGAAAUUCGAAAGGAAAUAGAGGCUUACCGAGAACGUACUUCCAGCUGACAACAGAACCAGUAUUACCCAACUGACCCUCAUGUAACGUGAAAUUUUUUACCUUAUCAGGAGACAUGGUGGAGGUUUGGUGUGGAUUUGAUUUGAAGUGUUCAUGAAGCAAAUGUCCAGCACACUUCAUCUCUAUUUGAGAGAUCAUCUUGCCUUUGAGACCCAUUUGUUAGCAGUGUGAGAUUUUCUUACACGAGUUUGUUGCUUUAAUUUAGCGUGACCUUAUAGCCUUUAUAUAGAGUGUCUCUUGAGAACAAUACUAGAGUAUGUUCGCCGUGCUCCCGCACGGGCCCAACCAUUUGGAUUAGAUUGUAGUUUAUUAGGGUAGAUAAUAUAUGAAAUUUUCAAAUGCAAUGUAAUUCAAGUAAAGUUAAUUAUUGGAGCAAGCCAAGGUUUGUGUUCCAUAAACAACGUAGAGUUAAUGUCAUUUAAAGAAAUUAUUAUAACAAUUAUAGUUUCUGUACCGGGAAAAACAUUACAAUAUCAUUUAAUCUUAUUUGUAUUAUUACGUGAUACUCUCUUUCUUAAUCAUUCCCAAAAAGAUGACACGUUUUUAAUGCUCUUUCAGCGUGUUUCUAAAGGAAAAAAUGGUUGAAUAUUUCCGCUACCUUUGUUACAUUAUAUAUGACAUUCUUUCAUUUUACAAGAGUGGCAACUUUUAUAUUUGAGAAUUCUUAAAUUGUUAUCUUAUAAUCUUAAAAAGAUCAUAGCAUGUACAUGACCCAAGGUCUAAGAGUACCUUUAGUAUGUGUAAAAUAUCUUCUUUUCUUUCUAAUGCUUCACGAUCCAUUCAACUAUCAACAUAUAAAAUAAAAUCGAGGAGUAAUAAGAAAUACUUCUUAGUGAUGUCUGAUUGAGUAGCUUCACUCGCACUUCUUAUAUGGGAGAAAAUCUACUUGCAUGGUUGUACACUGUUAAUCUUGGUAUGUCGUUGUUGGACGAGUGAACGAAAUUUUAGACUAAAAAUUCUUGAGAAAUUAAACUUACAUAUGAAUGCAUAGCUCACUAUGUAAAUGCGGACCCAUAAUUUAAAAGAGGCAGGAGCACUGUUGAGCAAAUACUGGAGCAGGAAUACAACCUAGGCAACACACUAAUAGUGAAAUUACAUCCCCUCCGGACUAGAGUCAAAUUUACUGUCGAACCAACAGUUUCAAUUAAACCCAUAAGUUUUAAUGCAGAGUAAAAAAUUAUAUGUAAAAAUUUAUCAAAAUUGCAAAAUAGUUGAUAUGAACCUAUAACUUUAAAAAUAUAAUGAAUUCAGUAUUAAAAAUUUUGAAAGUAAAACUCAUAGGAUUUAAAUCUUAGAUCUACCUCUCCUCCCAAACCCCCUCCAAAUGGUCCAGUGCUACACCCCAAAUUUUCAUACGUGAGAGUACGUCGUAAGACAUUGAUAUAUGCUCGGAAAUAAGACUAUUCUUGGAAGCAAAUAAAGUAAGUUAAUCAUGUCACCUUGGAGGUUACCAAUUUUUAAGAUCAUGAAUGAUGAGUACCAAGAGGGUUGUAAAUCGUAGAAGCUAAACCAAUUGAAGAAAAUAAGUUUCGUCAAAAGUCGACAAGUUUGGAAUAUUAUAACAUGUACUUUGGGGCGAGGAUACAGUUCUUAACAUGAUAAGGAGGUUAUCCUAUGAUUUAUUUUAGUCGUAUGAUAUUCAUUUUAUACAUUUUGAAGGCAAGAAAUUUGUGGAACAAGAGUUGGUAAAGGUUAUCGCAAGUUAUAUUUAUAAAUUUGCUGAAGUUUAGGUCAAAUGUAGAUGCACUUUUCUCCCAAUAUACUUGGAAUCAAGGGAUGAUCUACCUACAAUUUGAAGAUCUACCAGUCCAGUUUCUAACUCAUUUAACAGUUCAUCAAUAUGACAUCGGACUAGAGAGACAUUUUCAUGAGAUUGCGCCAAUUAGCUCUCUAUGGGGCCCACAUAGGCGGUUUAUGACAUAGGGAUAUAUAUAAGAUGCUCUCAACCCUAUUUUAAGUCAUUAUUUUCAGUAUAUUUUAGACCUUAGAACCCUAGAAACACUCUCUCAAGGUUCUCUCAUGAUUCAAGAGCCAAACAAAGGGCAAACAACACAAAUCAAGUGCCGGGAAUCCCAUGGCGCUUGUAUGUUUCUUGUUCUUCUAGUUUUUGCUGAUUUUUGUGUCGUUCCAGCUUGUGUAGGAGGUUGUUUGAAACUGUUUAUGCUGUGUAAAAUACACUCUCAUGGUUUUCAUAUCAACCCUAGGUUAUUUCAAGUCUUGCAAAUGGAUUAUGGUAUAUUUCAACAUCAAAAGUCAAGAAUAACACCUCUUUGAGGUUAUAUUUUCAUUAAGAAUUGCUAUGGGUUGUAUUUGGAUAUUCCAAGUUUUUGGUGUUGUCUAAGGUGAGUAUAAAAACAUACUAAUUGUUCUUUCUUGUAUGUUGGUUAAGUUUUUAGCAUGAUAUACUACAAGAUAUAUUAGGAUUAGCUUAGGUCACUUCAAUAGUGUUAUAUUACCGUUGAGGGUUAUUGUAAGCUGAAUAUGACUUAGAUUUCGAUAUUAAAUUACUGUAGGAGGCAUGUGUAUUGUGUUCUUUCAUGAGCUUAAGGUUAUCUUGAUGCUGAUUAUGUUAAAUGGAUGGAGUAGACAUGAACUAGUGAACAAAGUUACUUAUGGAGAUAGUUGGAGUUGUGAAUUGUUUCCUUAGUUACAAAUAUAUGGUAUAAGGAUAGAAUCAUUUACUAAGAGUGGAGGCCCUUGUCACUAGGGAAAUGCUGCCCAAAUUUACGUAAAUGAGCUACUAGCUUAAGUCAUAGACUUAGCCUUUGCUCAGCACUGAUUUUAAAUCUCCUUAUAUUAUGAUAGAUUUAGUUGUCUUGUUUGAAGAGUUGCUUGGAAGGGAUUAAGGACACAAUGGGUUUAAGGUAUGUUAAGGCACUUAAUUCUUACAUUUGGCAUGAUCUAAUGUAAUAUGAACAUAAACGGUAUGCUAAUACAUAAUGGAUCUACCCCUAGAAACUAAGGUUGUCCAUGUUGUUCUUUCCUUAUAAAGUUAUUCUAAACAAGUGUGUAGGAUCCUUAAAUCCUACUAAGGUUCAUAUUGAUGGUAAGGAUGUCCAUAAUGUUAAUCGAAUGUGCAAUGACCUUAUAUCACUCCGAAAGGGUUAGAACGUGAUAACAUGAGCCGAGCAUGCAUUAUAUAAAUAUAUACCCCUCUUGUCUAAAGGCAGGAGCACUAACUGUUGAGCAAAUACUGGAGCAAGAAUACAACCUAGGCAACACACUAAUAGUGAAGUUACAUCCCCUCCGUGCCAGAGUAGAAUUUACUGUUGAACCAACAGUUUCAAUUAAACCCAUAAGUUUCAAUGCAUAGUAAAAAAUUAUAUGCAAAAAUUUAUCAAAAUAGCAAAAAUAGUUGAUAUGAACCUAUAAUUUAAAAAUAUAAUGAAUUCAGUAUUAAAGACAUUGAAAGUUAAACUCAUAGGAUUUAAAUCUUAGAUCUACCACUCCUCUCAACCCCCCUCCAAAUGGUCCUGUGUUACACCCCAAAUUUUCAUAUGUGAGAGUAUGUCGUAAGUCAUUGAUGUAAGCUCGGAAAUGAGACUAUAUUUGGAAGAAAAUAAAGUAAGUUAAUCAUUUCACCUUGGAGGUUACCAAUAUUUAAGAUCAUGAAUGAUGAGUACCAAGAGGGUUGUAAAUCAUAGAAGCUAAACCAAUUGAAGAAAAUAAGUUUCGUCAAAAGUCGACAAGUUUGGAAAAUAUUAUAGCAUGUACUUUGGGGUGAGGCCAGAGUUCUUAACGUGAUGAAGAGGUUAUUCUAUGAGUUAUAUUAGUCGUAUGAUAUUCAUUUAAUCCAUUUUAAAGGCAAGCAAUUCAGGAACAAGAGUUGGCAAGGUCAUCGCAAGUUACAUUUAUAAAUUUGCUGAAGUUUAGGUCAAAUGUAGAUGCACUUUUCUCCCAAUAUUCUUGGAAUCAAGGGAUGAUCUACCUACCAAUUGAAGAUCUACGAGUCUAGUUUCUAACUCAUUAAACAGUUCAUGAAUAUGACAUCGGACUAGAGAGACAUUUUCGUGAGAUUGCGCCAAGUAGCUCUCUAUGGGGCCCACAUAGGCGGUUUAAGACAUAGGGAUAUAUAUAAGAUGCCUAAACCCUAUUUAAAGUCAUUAUUUUCAGUAUAUUUAAGACCUUAGAACCCUAGAAACACUCUCUCAAGGUUCUCUCAUGAUUCAAGACCCAAACAAAGGUCAAACAACACAAAUCAAGUGUCGGAAAUCCCAUGGCGCUUGUAAGUUUCUUGUUCUUCUAGUUUUUGCUGAUUUUUGGGUGGUUCCAGCUGGUGUAGGAGGUUGUUUGAAAUUGUUUAUGUUGUGUAAAAUACACUCUCAUGGUUUUAAUAUCAACCCUUGGUUACUUCAAGUCUUGCAAAUGGAUUAUGGUAUACUUCAACAUCAAAAGUCAAGAAUAACACCUCUUUGAGGUUGUAUUUUCAUUAAGAAUUGCUAUGGGUUGUAUUUGGAUAUUCGAAGUUUUUGGUGUUGUCUAAGGUGAGUAUAACAACAUACUAAUUGUGCUUAUACUUUCUUGUAUGUUGUUAAGUUUUUAGGAUGAUAAACUACAAGAUAUACUGGGAUUAGCUUAAGUCCAUUCUAUAGUGUUGUAUUAUCAAUGAGGGUUGUUGUAAGAUGAAUAUAACUUGGAUUUCGAUUUGAAAUUACUGUAGGAGGCGUUUUUAUUGUGUUCUUUCAUGAGCUUAAGGUUAUCUUGAUGUUGAUUAUGUUAAAUGGAUGGAGUAGACAUGAACUAGUGAACAAAGUUACUAAUUGAAGAUAGUUGGAGUUAAUAAUUGUUUCCUUAGUUAUAAAUAUAUGGUAUUAGGAUAGAAACAUUGACUAAUGACUUCAUUAUCAUGUUAAUGAUACUUUUAUGUUAAUAUAAGAAGUGUAUAAGGGGUGAUAUGUGUUAUACGGAUUCCAAUUGAAGCUUGCCGCUCGUCGUGUAGUACUUGUGACUUGUUGGUAUUAUAAGGUUUCUUGUUAUUGACAUUUAUAUGUUGAUGGAUUUCUCUUGUUGUUGUUGUUGGUGUACGGUAUUGGUGGAGGCCCUGGUUACUAGGGAGAUGCUGCCCAAAUUUACGUAAAUGAGCUACUAGCUUAAGUCGUAGACUAAGCCUUUGCUCAACAGUAAUUUUAAAUCUCCUUAUAUUAUGAUAGAUUGAGUUGACUUGUUUGAAGAGUUUCUUGGAAGGGAUUGAGGACUCAAUGGGUUUAAGAUGUGUUAAGGCACUUAAUUCUUUCUUUUGGUAUGAUCUAACGUGAUAUGAACAUAAACGGUAUGCUAAUACAUAAUGGAUCUACCCCUAGAAACUAAGGUUGUCCAUGUUGUUCUUUUCAUAUAAAGUUAUUCUAAACAAGUGUGUAUGAUCCUUAAAUCCUACUAAGGUUAAUAUUGAUAGUAGGGAUGUCCAUAAUAUUAAUCGAAGGUGCAAUGACCGUAUAUCAUUUCGAAAGUGUUAGAACGUUAUUCCAUGAGUCGAGCAUGCAUUAUAUAUAUAUAUAUAUAUAUAUCUAUUUUACUCUACCGAGCUGCGCGAUAGUCGUCCGGGUACGACACCUAUUGUGGAACAACUGAUCAGUUGUGUUUACCGAGCUCUAUGUGGCCGGGUAUGAUUACAUCGAGCCUUAUGAUGGCCGGGUAUGUUUUUAUCAUGUCCUCUUCGAGGCCGGACGAUAUAAUGAUAAUGAUGCCCACAGAGGCCUACGCUUUUAAAAAGUUUUUGUAUAUAUAUGUAUUAUUCAUUUCAUGACAUUAGCCCCUAUAGGCACUCAAAUGUUACAUGUUGUAUCUCCUUUAUCUCUUUUUACAUUACUAUUCUUAUUUAUAUAUUCCUUCCUUACAUACUCGGUACUUUAUUCAUAACAAUAUUCCUUUUGACUGGGGACACAGCAUUUCAUGCCCACAUGUCCCGAUAGACAGAUUGACAUUCCUCUAAGUAGGCUAUUAGCUGAGCGCAAGGUGUUGGUGAACUCCACUUGCUCCGGAGUUGCCAAUUUGGCAGUAUUUGUUAGGUAUGUAUUAACUGGUAUGGCGAGGCCCUGUCCCAACCUUUAUGAUUUUAUGUACUCAUAGAGGCUUCUAGACAAAUGUCAGGUCUAUGGAUACUUGUAUGGCCUUGUCGGCCUAUGUUUUGAGUUUAAAAAUGGUCAUGUCAGUCUUAUAGGCCCGCAUGUCACACGUAAGAGUUUACAUAUCAUGGUGGGUCUUCAUAUGUUAAGUAUUCCCCUAUGUUUCAUUCUUGUUAUCUCGUGAAGAGUUUUCUAGCUCAUUUACCCAUGAUAGUAUGAUAGGAAAGAUAUGUUAUGUUGGUACUCUAUUGAGUAAGGCACCAGGUGCUCGUCGCGGCCCAUCCGGUUUGGCUCGUGACAUCCAGUUACAUGUCUAACCUUUGAGUUGCCAACCAAAUUAGAAAAAAUUAAAAUCACUACUAGUUGGUCGGAC
This 14280-nucleotide long non-coding RNA is filed under the name Nicotiana benthamiana. Its description in RNAcentral is "long non-coding RNA (NBEN_LNC035639)". Lineage: Eukaryota; Viridiplantae; Streptophyta; Magnoliopsida; Solanales; Solanaceae. The record is from RNAcentral.